This 405-nucleotide ribosomal RNA is filed under the name Brachionus calyciflorus. RNAcentral describes it as "partial 16S ribosomal RNA". It matches the Rfam family "Bacterial large subunit ribosomal RNA", at positions 1932 to 2606 of the family's 2925-position model. Lineage: Eukaryota; Metazoa; Rotifera; Eurotatoria; Ploima; Brachionidae. The record is from RNAcentral.
CGCAGUACUCUGACAGUGCUAAGGUAGCGUGAUUCUAGUUUUCUUAAUUAGAAAUCUGUUCAAAGAAUGAUAUGUGGAAAAUCUAUUGUUUUCAUACUUAAACCAACUUAAAUUGUUAGUGAAAAUUCUAACUAGCUCUUAAAAGACGAGAAGACCCCAUAAAACUUAAUUUAAUAAUUUAUUUUCUAUUUCUUAAAAUUUAAAUGGGGACUUUAGAGUAUAAUAAUAACUUGUUGACCUAUAAAUUUAAUAACUGAGAAGCUACUUUGGGGAUAACAGGGUGAGAUAUUUAAAGAGUCCUUAUCGAUAAAUAUAAUUACUACCUCGAUGUUGGAUUAUCUUUUCAUAUAUAUUGUAGCAGUAUAUAUUGUUAGUCUGUUCGACUAUUAAAAAGUUACGUGAUCU